This 254-nucleotide ribosomal RNA is filed under the name uncultured bacterium. Its description in RNAcentral is "partial 16S ribosomal RNA". It matches the Rfam family "Bacterial small subunit ribosomal RNA", at positions 524 to 776 of the family's 1533-position model. The record is from RNAcentral.
UACGUAGGGGGCGAGCGUUGUCCGGAUUUAUUGGGCGUAAAGAGCUCGUAGGCGGCUUGGCAAGUCGGGUGUGAAACCUCCAGGCUCAACCUGGAGACGCCACUCGAUACUGCCAUGGCUAGAGUCCGGUAGGGGACCACGGAAUUCCUGGUGUAGCGGUGAAAUGCGCAGAUAUCAGGAGGAACACCGGUGGCGAAGGCGCCACUCUGGGCCGAAACUGACGCUGAGGAGCGAAAGCGUGGGUAGCAAACAGG